This is a long non-coding RNA of Myotis davidii, 748 nucleotides long. RefSeq lists it as uncharacterized. Lineage: Eukaryota; Metazoa; Chordata; Mammalia; Chiroptera; Vespertilionidae. The transcript is spliced from 2 exons. The record is from RefSeq and is a predicted model, not a curated record.
GGGUGCCGCCCCACGCUCCGGCGGCCGCCGCUCGUAGCCAUGGUACGCAUGCGCGCGGGGCUCGGCGUGGGUGCGGGCGCUUUUCUCUCUCUUGGACCUCGCUUUGUGGCCCCACUGCUCCGCCCCGGGAAGUACUUGGUUUGUAAACCUCAGGAUCCAGGUGUGCGGGGCGACCCAAAUUCUGAAUGUAGCCAAGAGCGUGGCAUGCCUUGAAAGAAGCUGUGAGAUGUUCGCCCUUGUUGUCCUAACGUAUGUUGAGCCCUUUCAUCCCCCGCUGUAGACUGGCGUGCACGCGGGAGAUCUUUGGCCUCCACGGACCUCGCAUCUGCGGCAGCAUCUGAGAGGGAAGUCACCAAUGGUCGCUUCCCUCUGGUAUUCACAAGAUCCCAUGUCCAGCAGCCUGUGAGAAACUGAAUCCUGCUCACAGCCAUGUGAGUGAAUUUGGAGAAACACCUCCCCCACGUGUGCCUUCAGAUGACUGCAGCCCAGCUGACACCUUGAUUGCAGCCUUGUGGAAGCCCCUGAGCCAGAGGUAUCCAGCUAAGCUGCACGUGGGUUCCUCAUACGCAGAAGAUUUGAGAUAAUAAAUGACUGCUGUGGCAAGCUGCUACCUUUUUUUAGUAAUUUGUUAGGAAACAAUGGACAGCUGAUAUGAUUUCCGUCUCUGUCACAAGAUCCGUGGUUCUUAAAUAUACUUUGAAGCUUGUUGGAAAAUACAUAAGCCCAGCCUGCCUGGUGUGGCCCAGUU